RNAcentral lists this long non-coding RNA (231 nucleotides) under Musa acuminata (dwarf banana). RNAcentral describes it as "long non-coding RNA (MACU_LNC006901)". The record is from RNAcentral. Lineage: Eukaryota; Viridiplantae; Streptophyta; Magnoliopsida; Zingiberales; Musaceae.
AAUUUUGAGGUUUAGUGAUUUCUAUUUAGAGACUGAUCAAAAGUUUUCUUUUGUUAUUUGUAGGAAGCAAGGAUGACGAGGUCAUCUGGUUCUCCUAUUGCAUCUACUUCUGAUCAAUUGAGUGGAAUUAUGAAAACUCUAGAGUCGAUGACACAAGUAAUGCAACAACAAGUCCGACAAGGCAGAAAUGAUGAAGUUGGGAAUUCAAACCAAACUGGGUUGGGAAUUGAA